UUAAAAAAAUACUAAAUUAAAGUUAACAAUGCAUAGAUUUUUACUUAUAAAGUGAUAUGCCAAUUUCCCAUUUAUCAUAUGAAAAGAGAAUAAAAGACAUGGCUAAAAUUGUAAAUUUUGUUCAAACUUUGAUCAUCUUUCUUUCUCUAAUUGUUCUUGCAAUUGCAACUACAGACCAUCGUCUGUUCUGUUCUACUAACGAUGAUUGUCAACACAAAAACUGUAGUGCUACUUUUGUUCCGAAGUGCCUUUGGAUUAUUUGUGAAUGCCACCCUUUCAAAAAGCGUAAACUUAUAUAUUAAAUCUAUGCUAUGCUCAAAGCUUAUUAUUUUCUUAUCAUGUGUCCUGCUCUACUAACGAGGAUUGUCAAAACAAUGAUUGUGGUGCUUCUUAUACUCCAGAGUGCCUUUGGAUUGUUUAUACCUGCCAACCUAGGAAAACAUCAAGUUAAAAAAUAAAUCUAUGUUUUAUUUUAAGCUUUUAUUUUCUUGUAAUUUAUGAUAAGAAUAAAUUAAAUAAAUACUAUAUUGUAUUAUUGUCUCGGUAUUUUUAAAGUUAGACAUGUAUUAAAUUAUUGUUCAUGUUAUA
This is an RNA transcript of Trifolium pratense (red clover), 588 nucleotides long. RefSeq lists it as uncharacterized. NCBI's taxonomy places the organism in Eukaryota, Viridiplantae, Streptophyta, Magnoliopsida, Fabales, Fabaceae. The record is from RefSeq and is a predicted model, not a curated record. The transcript has 3 exons.